This 495-nucleotide ribosomal RNA is filed under the name Streptomyces sp. BR1. Its description in RNAcentral is "bacterial SSU rRNA". It matches the Rfam family "Bacterial small subunit ribosomal RNA", at positions 139 to 648 of the family's 1533-position model. The record is from RNAcentral. Lineage: Bacteria; Bacillati; Actinomycetota; Actinomycetes; Kitasatosporales; Streptomycetaceae.
AGUUACAAGCCCCCGAAACGGGGUCUAAUACCGGAUACUGAUCCUCGCAGGCAUCUGCGAGGUUCGAAAGCUCCGGCGGUGCAGGAUGAGCCCGCGGCCUAUCAGCUAGUUGGUGAGGUAACGGCUCACCAAGGCGACGACGGGUAGCCGGCCUGAGAGGGCGACCGGCCACACUGGGACUGAGACACGGCCCAGACUCCUACGGGAGGCAGCAGUGGGGAAUAUUGCACAAUGGGCGAAAGCCUGAUGCAGCGACGCCGCGUGAGGGAUGACGGCCUUCGGGUUGUAAACCUCUUUCAGCAGGGAAGAAGCGAAAGUGACGGUACCUGCAGAAGAAGCGCCGGCUAACUACGUGCCAGCAGCCGCGGUAAUACGUAGGGCGCCAGCGUUGUCCGGAAUUAUUGGGCGUAAAGAGCUCGUAGGCGGCUUGUCACGUCGGUUGUGAAAGCCCGGGGCUUAACCCCGGGUCUGCAGUCGAUACGUCAGUCUAGUGCC